This 164-nucleotide ribosomal RNA is filed under the name Staphylococcus aureus. RNAcentral describes it as "partial 16S ribosomal RNA". It matches the Rfam family "Bacterial small subunit ribosomal RNA", at positions 1 to 159 of the family's 1533-position model. The record is from RNAcentral. Lineage: Bacteria; Bacillati; Bacillota; Bacilli; Caryophanales; Staphylococcaceae.
UUUAUGGAGAGUUUGAUCCUGGCUCAGGAUGAACGCUGGCGGCGUGCCUAAUACAUGCAAGUCGAGCGAACGGACGAGAAGCUUGCUUCUCUGAUGUUAGCGGCGGACGGGUGAGUAACACGUGGAUAACCUAACUAUAAGACUGGGAUAACUUCGGGAAACCG